RNAcentral lists this long non-coding RNA (225 nucleotides) under Dasypus novemcinctus (nine-banded armadillo). RNAcentral describes it as "lncRNA (ENSDNOG00000052598.1)". The record is from RNAcentral. Lineage: Eukaryota; Metazoa; Chordata; Mammalia; Cingulata; Dasypodidae.
CAGAAUGGAAUCUAAAUCUCAUUUUAAGUCUCUGGGACACACAGAUGACCAAGUAUUGGGAACUAGAGAGCUUUCCAGAACUGUUCUCGCCUCGAUGAGAAAACAAUAACCUUGGUUAUUUGGAGAAUCACUGAAGAUGCUGUGUCACCAAAAUUAAGUCCCAUAAAAGUAGAUAAUCAAAACGAACGCUCGUAGUGGGCUUUCCAGCCCCCCUCAGACUCCGAU